AGUUUCGAGUCAGUAUAUUACUUGUAUUUUUAAACCACAAAGGUUUUUGGUGGUCUUCAGUUGCGCCUUUUAGUGUUUUUUGGAUAGUUUUUUUUUCUAACCCUGGAGGAACUUUUCUAACCACAUAGUCUUUCAUUGGAUCAUUUUACCUCUUUGCAAGAGUGGAGGUUGCAAUCAGGUUGGUCAGGUCCUGGAUAUGUAGAUGUGUACCUUUUCCACGCACCUCCUGCCCACCUUUCCUAUAUCCAAGGCUAGAUCUGAGAUUCAACAAAACCUAAACAGCUUUGCCCGAUUGAAGCAGAACUUAUUCUGUUUUUUUUUCUUUCCCUAUUGUCCACCAACUCCCCAAAACCUCUAAACCUGCAGACUUCCUUGGAUUCUUGAACGUUUGUCUCAGUUUCCUGUUAAAUCCGUGGAAUGUUGUAAAAUGGUGCAUGUAGUUAAGAUGACGUAGCCAUGCCUCGUUAUGCAUUUUGCUCCACAGUGCUUCCAUCACUGCUCAGAUUCCAUGUAAAUGGUCUUAUGUAAUAAGACUUCCACCCUUUAGUGCUGUAGGCAGUAGUUAGUUAGGUCGAGCCCAAACCAAGACCACAUGGAAGUCAGAAGCAUGCACCACGUGGAUCUGCCUCUCUGCAGGACUCCGUGUUCAGGAUCAGCUUGAUUUAAUCUGGUUUGACACUUUCACCAAAGGCUAGAGACGUCCGUUUUCUUAAUCUAACUUGUGUAAAACAUUCAGAGCCAAGAUUUUAAGAGCUCAGACCUUUAGAGAGAGACUCACUGGUUCUGCCCAGCUCCGUUCUCUCUGAGACCAACAGACAUGAUUAUCAGACUGGGACGCCUGACUCCUGGAUAUUUCCGUCUCCUGCAGAGGCAGGUAGCCGGUGAGGUUCAGACCCAGCCUCAGGACCGCUCCCUUAACCAGAUCGCCAUGAUGCUGGCCAUUAUGGGUCUUAGCCUGUCCUACUACAGUGCCAAACAGAUGACCGAGAAGGUGCGGCGUGACCCGGUGCCCUGAACACAACCAUGACCUCCUGAUCCAUUUCAAUCCUGGAGGUAGAAUAGAAACUAAAUCAGAGAUGGAGACUUGAAGACUUUAUCCAGCACUUUUUAUACACUAACAUUAUAAGCCUGGAUAUUCUGAGGUCAGCCAGCAUGAGAUGAGAUGAGUUCAGGGUUUUUAUCAAGCGAUGUCAACAAAAAUAGUGUUCAGAUGCGGCCUACGUCUUUACAGUUGCGUUGGUACAUUCAUCAGGGUUCCUUAGUGCCUCGAAGGCCAGAGCUUUGGUUUAGAAACUUCUCAAUAAUUCAUAUUUAAAGGGAAGGAGACAGUCACUAAUGCUUUGACAGAGAAUAAAUGCCUUUUAAAGGGAAACCCUCUGCUUUUAUGUAUCAAACAGCUGUAGAAAGCAGGUUGCUUUGAACACUUGGGAUAUUUUUAAGGCUGCUUAAAUGGACACAAAGCGCACAGGAAUCCUGCAAGCUUGUACUGGAAGGGCAGUACUGAACUACACUAUGAGAUUAAAUAAAAGGUCUGUUUUGGUUUUAAAUAUAGAUUUAUUUUGCUGUACUGUUAUAAGUAGCCAUGUUUGUCAAGUUUUAUGAGAACGAAUUAAAAUGUUAACGUGCAUGUGUGAGUAUUUUAAAGAAUCCAGUAUGUGAUAUUGUCAUGAAUGUAUGUUGAUAUUUAAAACUUGAUGAAAUAAAGCUGUGAGCAUUUUGGACAAGUCAGUGAUAUACUGGCUGAAAAACGUGCAACGAAUGUGAAGCGGGAUGAAAUAUUACAUUAAUGGCAUUUAGCGGACGCUCUUAUCCAGAGCAACGUACAACAUACCCAGAGCAGCCUGGGGGUUAGAUGCCUUGCUCAAGGGCACUUCAGCCAUUCCUGCUAAUCCAGGAAAUCAAACCAGUGACCUUUUGGUCUCAAAACCACUUCUCUAACCAUUAGGCCAUGACUUUCCUAUAUUGCUCAACAAAGUCAGUCUUUCCCCAGGCAGGAGCUUUACUGUAUAUUUACUAAGCACAUGAUGGGAAAUUUGUGGGAUAUUAAGUAUCCUCGGAUGUUAAAUUUAUUAUAUUAAAACUGUAGAUCUGUUGCUUCACUUGAAAAUCCCCAUAUUAGCCAGUUUGAGAGGAAGUAGCUUAAAGGCUUUGUGCAUAAACAUUUUUUUGCUGCUGGUCAGAUGCUCGUUGAUAAAAUUUGCACAGUUUCUGUGCUCAAAUGCCAGGUGAAAGAAUUCUUAUUCUUAUAAGAUCUGGCUCAGCAAAAUCAUUUCCUGUAUCUCCACAGAAGCAUGCAAUCUGCUAAACAGGAAGUGGUCAUGCACGCAGAUAGGAACUUCCUCCAUGCGUUGGCCGAGUAAUAAUGUAGCACCUCAAUGGUGUGCAGGAAUAGUGCUAGCUUUAAGUAUGUGUGGGGAAACUGUAGUCUAAGUUGAUGGAUUAAAUUUAGGAUGCUAGCACAGGCUCGAUGUAUUUGUGCCUUCGGUGCAAGUUCUCACCUACCUUGAUUUCACACUAGAAAGUGCCGUGGUGCUGAAGGUGCUCCAGGCUGAGCUUGAGCAAGCUUUGUCUUUUGCUUAUUAUCGUCUAAUGAUAUCCUACAAAGGCCAAUGUUCCUGCAGGGUUUCAUUCUCACCAGGCACAAGUACUAAUUAACAGUUAUUCCACGAAAUCGAGUCGUACAUGAGCUGAUAGCGGCUAUAAGCCAUGUAGGACGAGAUUGAGUGGAAUAACUAUUUUUAUUCUAUCCACAUUCACUGGAUUUUAAGAAACAGAGCAUUUUUAUUUUUUGCAAAUUCGAUUUAAAAAAAAAACCUUUAUACGGAACGUCCGACAAAAUCAUUUCCACUUAGAAUGUAAACAAACCAGCGAAAUGACAGUAGCAAUUUGUGAAAAAUGCGAUAAUUAUUGAAAAAAAAGAUACGUUCUUACCAUCAAAUACUUUUUUGUUGCUUUUUGGGGUUUUGUUUUUGAGUAUUUAUUUCAUCCUUGUGGCGGCACGGUGGUGUAGUGGUUAGCGCUGUCGCCUCACAGCAAGAAGGUCCUGGGUUCGAGCCCUGGGGCUGGCGAGGGCCUUUCUGUGUGGAGUUUGCAUGUUCUCUCCGUGUCCGCGUGGGUUUCCUCCGGGUGCUCCGGUUUCCCCCACAGUCCAAAGACAUGCAGGUUAGGUUAACUGGUGACUCUAAAAUUGACUGUAGGUGUGAAUGGUUGUCUAUGUGUCAGCCCUGUGAUGACCUGGCGACUUGUCCAGGGUGUACCCCGCCUUUUGCCCGUAGUCAGCUGGGAUAGGCUCCAGCUUGCCUGCGACCCUGUAGAAGGAUAAAGUGGCUAGAGAUAAUGAGAUGAGAUGAGAUUUCAUCCUUGUUUGGUUCAGCAACACGCUUCGCCAUUUUUUUUUCUCUCUCCUCAUGGUAUAUGCACUGAUAGCCUAGUAGUAGAGUAGCCAGUCAGAAUAUGUGAUUACUCAUAUCCAGUGAAUGUGGAUGGAAUAACACCUGAUAUUCAAUGGAAAUCUACGAUCAACUGACUGCACAGAUAGAAUUAGACGUGGUUUGUCUUGAUUGUCUGGAAUGAAAACCUGUAGUCACACCAAAGUUUUAUGUCAAGCACUUCAAUAAGAACCGUGUGGUUCCUUGUUACUUCCUGGUGUAAGCUUGGGGUUACAUUUGAUCAGUUCUCAGAGACGAACUUGCUGAAAAAUAUCUGAGCUCCUUUAGCAUGAGAGAGGCACAGUUAUGCGCAUAAGAAUCCUUGCAGAUCUGUUCGCCUAAAAAUAUUGAAAGGAAGCAACGUUUGGUUGGAGUUAAAGUGGCAUUGUGUACAAAACCGUUCAAGUCUUUUUAAUUUCCGCUCGGUUUGUUACACUGGAUCAUGAAGAUAUCGUGCAUGAUGCUCCCUCCACACAUGGGAGAUGCUGCUGGGUAUUUUACCCCUCCCAUCCUGUGCUGAUUCACUUGGGAGAUGUGAUGCACUCUGACAGGGCGGAACACUGUCUGGUUAAACGGGAACCUCUCCCACCAGUACGCAUCACUGGGCAAUUCGACCACAAAAAAUUCAACCCGGGAAGGCAAGUUCAGGACAUGAGAGCUGUGCUCCCAUUGGCUGGUGUGAUAAUGUAUCAGGAAGUCAUAACAAUUCUGAGCCAUAGAGACAAAGCAAAGGGAUCACGCCAGAGAUACGGAAGAGAUACAGACAGAAAAUGGAUGAAAAGGGAUGUAGGCUUAAUAUGUGCUCAGUCGUUUAUCUUCCUUGCUUCGAUAACUGGAGCAGGAAUGUGUCUGAAGUAUCUGUUUAAAAAACUGCACUGUUUCGAGUUAAGGAAUUUGCCUUCUUACAGUUUGUGUUUUUGAAGAGGAUUUCCUGAAGUUUUACAUUCAUUUUGUAAAAGACAUCACUGCGUGUCCAUUUCCUCUUUAUUAGCUUGUUGCUAUGUUUGUGAUGCCUAAAUAGAGUGCAAUAACAAUAUUAAUGUACCUUGUACGUCUGUCAUGUUGCUACUACAACUGUGAAAUAAAAUGUUAAUG
Neoarius graeffei (lesser salmon catfish) is the source of this 4523-nucleotide long non-coding RNA. RefSeq lists it as uncharacterized. The record is from RefSeq and is a predicted model, not a curated record. The transcript is spliced from 3 exons. NCBI's taxonomy places the organism in Eukaryota, Metazoa, Chordata, Actinopteri, Siluriformes, Ariidae.